RNAcentral lists this ribosomal RNA (915 nucleotides) under uncultured bacterium. Its description in RNAcentral is "bacterial SSU rRNA". It matches the Rfam family "Bacterial small subunit ribosomal RNA", at positions 10 to 915 of the family's 1533-position model. The record is from RNAcentral.
AGUUUGAUCCUGGCUCAGGAUGAACGCUAGCUACAGGCUUAACACAUGCAAAUCGAGGGGAAACGACAUCGAAAGCUUGCUUUCGAUGGGCGUCGACCGGCGCACGGGUGAGUAACGCGUAUCCAACCUGCCCAUCACUUGGGGAUAACCUUGCGAAAGUAAGACUAAUACCCAAUGACGUCUCUAGAAGACAUCUGAAGGAGAUUAAAGAUUUAUCGGUGAUGGAUGGGGAUGCGUCUGAUUAGCUUGUUGGCGGGGUAACGGCCCACCAAGGCGACGAUCAGUAGGGGUUCUGAGAGGAAGGUCCCCCACAUUGGAACUGAGACACGGUCCAAACUCCUACGGGAGGCAGCAGUGAGGAAUAUUGGUCAAUGGACGAGAGCCUGAACCAGCCAAGUAGCGUGCAGGAUGACGGCCCUAUGGGUUGUAAACUGCUUUUAUAAGGGAAUAAAGUGAGUCUCGUGAGACUUUUUGCAUGUACCUUAUGAAUAAGGACCGGCUAAUUCCGUGCCAGCAGCCGCGGUAAUACGGAAGGUCCGGGCGUUAUCCGGAUUUAUUGGGUUUAAAGGGAGCGUAGGCCGGAGAUUAAGCGUGUUGUGAAAUGUAGACGCUCAACGUCUGCACUGCAGCGCGAACUGGUUUCCUUGAGUACGCACAAAGUGGGCGGAAUUCGUGGUGUAGCGGUGAAAUGCUUAGAUAUCACGAAGAACUCCGAUUGCGAAGGCAGCUCACUGGAGCGCAACUGACGCUGAAGCUCGAAAGUGCGGGUAUCGAACAGGAUUAGAUACCCUGGUAGUCCGCACGGUAAACGAUGGAUGCCCGCUGUUGGUCUGAAUAGGUCAGCGGCCAAGCGAAAGCAUUAAGCAUCCCACCUGGGGAGUACGCCGGCAACGGUGAAACUCAAAGGAAUUGACG